GUGUCCUUGUAAGGUUGCCACAGUGCCUUGAGAGGGUAACACAGAGGGUAAAGUCUCCAUAACUCCCAGAAAAGAGAUUGUCUAAAACUCCUCUUUGGAUUAUUUCUGGAGUCACUGCU
Small nucleolar RNA from Phyllostomus discolor (pale spear-nosed bat), 119 nucleotides. RefSeq annotates it as small nucleolar RNA SNORA26. The transcript has a single exon. The record is from RefSeq and is a predicted model, not a curated record. NCBI's taxonomy places the organism in Eukaryota, Metazoa, Chordata, Mammalia, Chiroptera, Phyllostomidae.